AGUGAACGCUGGCGGUAGGCCUAACACAUGCAAGUCGAACGGCAGCGCAGUAAGAGCUUGCUCUUACGGGUGGCGAGUGGCGGACGGGUGAGGAAUACAUCGGAAUCUACUUUUUCGUGGGGGAUAACGUAGGGAAACUUACGCUAAUACCGCAUACGACCUACGGGUGAAAGCAGGGGAUCUUCGGACCUUGCGCGAUUGAAUGAGCCGAUGUCGGAUUAGCUAGUUGGCGGGGUAAAGGCCCACCAAGGCGACGAUCCGUAGCUGGUCUGAGAGGAUGAUCAGCCACACUGGAACUGAGACACGGUCCAGACUCCUACGGGAGGCAGCAGUGGGGAAUAUUGGACAAUGGGCGCAAGCCUGAUCCAGCCAUACCGCGUGGGUGAAGAGGGCCUUCGGGUUGUAAAGCCCUUUUGUUGGGAAAGAAAAGCAGCAGGUUAAUACCCCGCUGUUCUGACGGUACCCAAAGAAUAAGCACCGGCUAACUUCGUG
Molecule: ribosomal RNA, 492 nt
Filed under: uncultured bacterium
Lineage: Bacteria
Description: partial 16S ribosomal RNA
Rfam family: Bacterial small subunit ribosomal RNA
Source: RNAcentral